CAUAUCAAUAAGCGGAGGAAAAGAAACCAACAGGGAUUGCCUCAGUAACGGCGAGUGAAGCGGCAAGAGCUCAAAUUUGAAAUCUGGCGCCCCGCCGGCGUCCGAGUUGUAAUUUGGAGAGGCAUCUUCAGGAGGGGGCCCGGCCUAUGUUCCUUGGAACAGGGCGUCGCAGAGGGUGAGAAUCCCGUUCUUGGCCGGACAGCCCCUCCGGUGUGCAGUGUCUUCUACGAGUCGAGUUGUUUGGGAAUGCAGCUCAAAAUGGGUGGUAAAUUUCAUCUAAAGCUAAAUAUGGGCGAGAGACCGAUAGCGCACAAGUAGAGUGAUCGAAAGAUGAAAAGCACUUUGAAAAUAGAGUCAAACAGCACGUGAAAUUGUUGAAAGGGAAGCGCUUGAGACCAGACUCGGCCAUGGACUAACAGCUGUCCCUUCUGGGCGGUGCACUUGUCCUUGGCCGGGCCAGCAUCGGUUGGGACGGCGGGACAAAGGCUGGGGGAAUGUGACUCCCUUGAGGAGUGUUAUAGCCCCCGGCGCCAUGCCGCCCGCCCCGACCGAGGACCGC
Molecule: ribosomal RNA, 559 nt
Filed under: Tuber aestivum (summer truffle)
Lineage: Eukaryota; Fungi; Ascomycota; Pezizomycetes; Pezizales; Tuberaceae
Description: eukaryotic LSU rRNA
Rfam family: Eukaryotic large subunit ribosomal RNA
Source: RNAcentral